AGCAGCCGCCGCGGUAAUGCGUAGGGUGCAAGCGUUAAUCGGAAUUACUGGGCGUAAAGCGUGCGCAGGCGGUUUGUUAAGACAGAUGUGAAAUCCCCGGGCUCAACCUGGGAACUGCAUUUGUGACUGGCAGGCUAGAGUAUGGCAGAGGGGGGUGGAAUUCCGCGUGUAGCAGUGAAAUGCGUAGAUAUGCGGAGGAACGCCGAUGGCGAAGGCAGCCCCCUGGGCCAAUACUGACGCUCAUGCACGAAAGCGUGGGGAGCAAACAGGAUUAGAUACCCCAGUAGUCCCUGUCUCUUAUAC
RNAcentral lists this ribosomal RNA (303 nucleotides) under uncultured bacterium. RNAcentral describes it as "partial 16S ribosomal RNA". It matches the Rfam family "Bacterial small subunit ribosomal RNA", at positions 507 to 807 of the family's 1533-position model. The record is from RNAcentral.